This 323-nucleotide ribosomal RNA is filed under the name uncultured bacterium. RNAcentral's name for it is "bacterial SSU rRNA". It matches the Rfam family "Bacterial small subunit ribosomal RNA", at positions 28 to 352 of the family's 1533-position model. The record is from RNAcentral.
GACGAACGCUGGCGGCGUGCUUAACACAUGCAAGUCGAGCGGUAAGGCCCUUUCGGGGGUACACGAGCGGCGAACGGGUGAGUAACACGUGGGUGACCUGCCCUCAGCUCUGGGAUAAGCCUGGGAAACCGGGUCUAAUACUGGAUAUGACUCCAUGACGCAUGUUGUGGGGUGGAAAGCCUUGUGCGGCUGAGGAUGGGCCCGCGGCCAAUCAGCUUGUUGGUGGGGUGANGGCCUACCAAGGCGACGACGGGUAGCCGGCCUGAGAGGGCGACCGGCCACACUGGGACUGAGACACGGCCCAGACUCCUACGGGAGGCAGC